UGAGUAAUAUUUAAACGUAUGCAUUUGACGUCGACUCAUGCUCGACUUAUCAGUGAUCGGCGAAAUAAUAUCGUUUUCAUAUUUCACGCGCUAGUUUCUUACUUCUUUGUAGAGACCUUGUCUCGUUAAAGAUGAACUAUGCAAAUUGUCAUUGUUUGCAUUUUUGGUGUCCCGAUUAUAGUAUGUUUAUUCACGAUAGGAAAUGUAAGAAGUUAUAAAUAAUAUUCGAGACUGCUUGAUUUUGUCGUAAGAAGGAAGAGAGAAACGUAAUAUGCGCGAGCUUUGGAAUUCGUAUAUAUAGUUAGGUAUAUACAUAGUUCACAAUGUGCAGAGUAUAUCACGUGUUUGAUAUGCCAUCGACCUACAUGUACUCUGGAUUAACUCUGUGACCAGCAUUGAAUCUAUUGAACUCAAAUAGCGUUCGACUUAAGCACUUAAGCGAUACUUAAAGACUGAAAUUACGCGCUUCUUGAAUAAGAAUGAUAUUAUAUCAUAAUACGUUUCCCAUUUAUAGGUUCCAUUGAAAAGUGAAUUCGUUAGUCUGAUAGCUUAUCGCUGAGAUCGAAAGUGCUGAGUCACGACAAUUUAACGAUUUAUUCUGUGCAUUCUUACUAUAUUUUUUCUUCUUGCACCUCAUAUUUUUUCAUGCUUACAUCGCUAUAUAUAACGGAUACUCUGUUAUUGAAUAUAUUUCAGCGGAUUAAAUGAAAAAUGAUAAAUAACAAUAUUCGAAUGAGUAUAACAAGCCUAGUCUGAACCAUUAAGUCAUACUACGUAUAUAUAUAUAUAUAUAUAUAUAUAUCAUUUCAUGUAUGUUAAUAGUGCUCGCUUAAUACAGCACAUAUUUCAAUGGAUAUUUUAAUACAGACUUAAUAAUUUUUAAAUAUAAUUUAACUGUUGUGCUCAAAAUUAUCCGUUUAUUGAAAAUGUAAUAUAAAAUCGUUUUAAUUGAAAGCAUUAAUUCUUUUAUUCGUGCUAAAAUUUCAAAUGCAAUGUACGUAUGUAGUACGUAUAGUAGUUAAAUAUAUUAUAUAUAUAUAAUGCAGCAAACAUACAACUAAUCAAACGUUAAAUCGCACAGACAUUUCAUCUGUUCAUUGGUAAUGUGAAACCAUUAUUAUUCCUCACAGUGUAAUUUACAUAUUUCUUCUCGAGGCAAACAAACUUACUUGAGAAACUUGCAUCAAUAAGGACAAUGUAUUGAAAGAAUCAACAAUUUAAAAAUGUAUCAUAGCUCUUAUCUGAGAUACGUAUAUAGUCGUUAGUAUACUGAGGAGUAAAAAAGAAAAAAAGAAAUGCUGAAUGUGCUGAAUGUUUCUAAGAAACACGGUAUCACUGUACCAGCGCAUCUUAAUCUCUUUGAAUGCAACGUUCCUGCGUUAAUUUCUUGUCAUAUAUCCGGCAUGGAUUCUACAGGCGAUAUUGACUUCUUUUUUUAAUUUUUAUCUUUUUCGCAAUAUGUUAUUUUCCGAUAAACUUGCCAAGUUGUGUUUAUUUUGUAUAUCUAUAUACGUAUGUGUAUUUGAUAAAAUUUACUAGUUA
Bombus pyrosoma is the source of this 1542-nucleotide long non-coding RNA. RefSeq lists it as uncharacterized. The transcript has 2 exons. The record is from RefSeq and is a predicted model, not a curated record. Lineage: Eukaryota; Metazoa; Arthropoda; Insecta; Hymenoptera; Apidae.